ACCGGCGCCACGAGUGGUCAUCACGAUUAUUGGGCCUAAAGCGUUCGUAGCCGGCUCGGUAAAUCCUUUGUGAAAUUGUUCGGCUUAACCGAACAGCGUGCAGGGGACACUGCCAAGCUCGAGACCGGGAGGGGUCAGAAGUAUUCCAUGGGGACCGGUAAAAUGGGAUAAUCCAUGGAGGACUACCGAUGGCGAAGGCAUCUGACCAGAACGGAUCUGACGGUGAGGAACGAAAGCCAGGGGAGCGAACCGGA
This 254-nucleotide ribosomal RNA is filed under the name uncultured prokaryote. RNAcentral's name for it is "partial 16S ribosomal RNA". It matches the Rfam family "Archaeal small subunit ribosomal RNA", at positions 475 to 728 of the family's 1478-position model. The record is from RNAcentral.